This 447-nucleotide ribosomal RNA is filed under the name uncultured Gemmobacter sp. RNAcentral describes it as "bacterial SSU rRNA". It matches the Rfam family "Bacterial small subunit ribosomal RNA", at positions 917 to 1381 of the family's 1533-position model. Lineage: Bacteria; Pseudomonadati; Pseudomonadota; Alphaproteobacteria; Rhodobacterales; Paracoccaceae. The record is from RNAcentral.
GACGGGGCCGCACAGCGGUGGAGCAUGUGGUUUAAUUCGAAGCAACGCGAAGAACCUUACCAGGUCUUGACAUCCCCUGACAACCCGAGAGAUCGGGCGUUCCCCCUUCGGGGGACAGGGUGACAGGUGGUGCAUGGUUGUCGUCAGCUCGUGUCGUGAGAUGUUCGGUUAAGUCCGGCAACGAGCGCAACCCACACUCCUGGUUGCCAGCAUUCAGUUGGGCACUUUAGGAGAACUGCCGGUGAUAAGCCGGAGGAAGGUGUGGAUGACGUCAAGUCCUCAUGGCCCUUACGGGUUGGGCUACACACGUGCUACAAUGGUGGUGACAAUGGGCUAAUCCCAAAAAGCCAUCUCAGUUCGGAUUGGGGUCUGCAACUCGACCCCAUGAAGUCGGAAUCGCUAGUAAUCGCGUAACAGCAUGACGCGGUGAAUACGUUCCCGGGCCUU